GACGAACGCUGGCGGCGUGCUUAACACAUGCAAGUCGAACGGUGACGAGGAGCUUGCUCCUCUGAUCAGUGGCGAACGGGUGAGUAACACGUGAGCAACCUGCCCCAGACUCUGGGAUAACAGUUGGAAACAGCUGCUAAUACCGGAUACGAGACGGAGAGGCAUCUCUACCGUCUGGAAAGUUUUUCGGUCUGGGAUGGACUCGCGGCCUAUCAGCUAGUUGGUGAGGUAAUGGCUCACCAAGGCGACGACGGGUAGCCGGCCUGAGAGGGCGACCGGCCACACUGGGACUGAGACACGGCCCAGACUCCUACGGGAGGCAGCAGUGGGGAAUAUUGCACAAUGGGCGAAAGCCUGAUGCAGCGACGCCGCGUGAGGGAUGACGGCCUCGGUUGUAACGUACUUACUACGUCAGGAAGGAAGGACGGAAAGUAGGAACGGUAACCGUUACGCCGACGAAGGAAAGAACGACCGGACCGUAACCUAACGUACGUCCGACGACAGCCGCCGGUAACGUAGU
Molecule: ribosomal RNA, 520 nt
Filed under: uncultured bacterium
Lineage: Bacteria
Description: bacterial SSU rRNA
Rfam family: Bacterial small subunit ribosomal RNA
Source: RNAcentral